Small nucleolar RNA from Cornus florida, 85 nucleotides. Lineage: Eukaryota; Viridiplantae; Streptophyta; Magnoliopsida; Cornales; Cornaceae. The record is from RefSeq and is a predicted model, not a curated record.
UCUCGGUGAUGAAUAAAUGUUUAAGAUGACGAGUCCGAUCAUCCAUUCAAUCAUGACGACCAAUCGAGGCAUUUGUCUGAGAGAA